Molecule: long non-coding RNA, 587 nt
Organism: Candoia aspera
Lineage: Eukaryota; Metazoa; Chordata; Lepidosauria; Squamata; Candoiidae
Exons: 2
Source: RefSeq, a predicted model, not a curated record
AUCUCAGUCUCUGGCAAAUCCAAUGGCUGUGGCAUCUUCAGCAUCUUGUUCCUUUCAUUCAAGGAUAUCCAAGGCCGUGGGAUUUAGCAAGCCGCACAGAGAUUCCAGAGAAUGUCAGCUGCAGACAAAACGCCUUGACCAGAAGAAGGGGGGAGCAGCAAAUUUUUGGCAGUUCUUGUUCUUCCCCCACCCUCCUUCCCUGAUCCUUGAUGUCCAUGAGAGAUUUUUGUUUUGUUUUGUAACACUGAAGAUGGAUUAUUUUCCCACCAUUAUUGGAAUAUGGGGUGGAGUUUUUCGAGGGUCAGGUUUCGUUCUGGAAACCAAUGAAGUGUGAAUAAUCAGAACUUGAGAUUUUUCCCACUCUUCCACACAGCUUGAGUGUCUUGCUUAGGCAGGAUUUACCAGUGCAAUGAAGAUCAGCAUUUCGCAGGCCAGGUCCAAACCAGUAAUCCACACUUUAUGGACUGUCAACCUGGAAAGAGCAACAUUCAAGUGCCAAGGAUGACUGUUGGAGUUCUCAGUGCAAAGCGGUCUGUGAGCAGAUUAAUUGUAACAAUUACUACAAUAAAGCAUAUGAAGAAUCUUGA